UACGAAGGUGGCAAGCGUUGUUCGGAAUCAUUGGGCGUAAAGCGAACGUAGGCGGGUUUGUAAGUAGACUGUGAAAACCCUGGGCUCAACCCGGGACGUGCUGUCUAAACUGCAAGUCUUGAAUUCUCGAGAGGAUGGUGGAAUUCCUGGAGUAGUAGUGAAAUACGUAGAUAUCAGGAGGAACACCGGAGGCGAAGGCGGCCAUCUGGCGAGAUAUUGACGCUAAGGUUCGAAAGCGUGGGUAGCAAACAGG
RNAcentral lists this ribosomal RNA (253 nucleotides) under uncultured bacterium. Its description in RNAcentral is "partial 16S ribosomal RNA". It matches the Rfam family "Bacterial small subunit ribosomal RNA", at positions 524 to 776 of the family's 1533-position model. The record is from RNAcentral.